ACCUAGCCCUGAUAGAAGCGGCAUCCUUUUUCUGGCUUCUUUAGCCAGGAAAAGAUAGAGCGGAUAGCAGGAGAGAGC
RNAcentral lists this small RNA (78 nucleotides) under Flavobacterium hercynium. RNAcentral describes it as "Flavo-1 RNA". It matches the Rfam family "Flavo-1 RNA". Lineage: Bacteria; Pseudomonadati; Bacteroidota; Flavobacteriia; Flavobacteriales; Flavobacteriaceae. The record is from Rfam by way of RNAcentral.